This 29-nucleotide non-coding RNA is filed under the name Rattus norvegicus (Norway rat). The record is from RNAcentral. Lineage: Eukaryota; Metazoa; Chordata; Mammalia; Rodentia; Muridae.
UCCAGUUUUGUUUCUGGAUUCUCUCUCUC